GCAAGGGGGGUUUCGGCCGGUAAAGUAGGCUAACACCGUCGCAUCGCUAGAAGAACUGAUUUUCGGACAGGCUUUGUUUGUGUAUGAGCUCCAUCACCUCCUCCAGAAAUGUGGACGGAUAUAAGGAAACUACUGAUCUUUCAUUUGUUUGUCCUAAAACACUGCUCAAAAGGAACAGAGGCAGAAGAGUGUGAGGAAGGCCAGUUUCAGUGCAAUAACAGAAGGUGUAUACCGACCAUAUGGAGGUGCGAUGACGAUGACGACUGCUCAGACAACAGCGACGAGGAAAACUGUGCCAGGAAGACGUGUGCCCCGGCAGAGUUUGCCUGUGCUAACGGCCAGUGUGUACCAGGCCGCUGGCGCUGUGAUGGGGAACCAGAGUGUCCCGACGGCUCGGAUGAGGCAGACGCCACCUGC
This is a long non-coding RNA of Oncorhynchus tshawytscha (Chinook salmon), 417 nucleotides long. RefSeq lists it as uncharacterized. The transcript is spliced from 3 exons. NCBI's taxonomy places the organism in Eukaryota, Metazoa, Chordata, Actinopteri, Salmoniformes, Salmonidae. The record is from RefSeq and is a predicted model, not a curated record.